CUCGGGGCAGUGGGUGGCCCCAGUUCAGGCCCGUCUAGGGCUUCCUCAGCCUGCAAACCCCUUUCUUCUGCUGAGACAGGCUGUGGGAAAUUGAAUCAGGCACGCUCCUGAUGCACACAAUCCUGGUGUUAUCUGUCCCCCUCUCUCACCGAUUGAGGCCCCAUGUGGCCUUCUGUGAGGCUGAGGAACCCUGGUUAACCUUCUGGUUUUGCUGGCAAUUAGUCCUCCUUUGCUUCUGCCACCCCCCCCCCCAACUCCCCCAGCCUGGCCAGUCUUCUUGUGUGGCAGAAUAGGUUUCUGCCUCAGGACCUUUGCACAUGCUAGUCUGUCUGGAGUUUCCUUUUGACUCUCCAUCAGCCUCACUCCUUGUUACAUGGGGCUCAGCUCAGACAUCUCCUGGAAGUCUGCUCAGACUGCCCCAUUCAAAGCAGCCUUUGCCCUGGUCUUGCCACCAUGGGCUCCUACUUUGUCAGACAGGUACAUGAAAUGGUGAAUUGAUGAAUGAAUCAAGAACCAAACAAGAGGACCCUGUAGUUGUUGUCUUUAGAUAUUUGGUAUCUUGUCUUGAGGAUGAGAAAUCAAACCAGCUUUUUUCGGCCUUAAGGGGGAAGAGUUAGGGUUGAAGGUGGGGGUGGAUUAUAGUGAGGUACCAAUUCUGUCUCUGCAAAAAGAGAUGACUAGUCAGGGGCCCAAGGUGAAGUUGUGAGGUAGUAAGCUCCCCAUCACAUAGAAGCAUACAAAUAAAAGAUGGAAGGCCACACAGCAGCGUUGUGGCAGUUGGGACUGAAGCAUCAGAUGAAUAUGUGAAACUGGACUUCCUCCUGACCUUAGAGCUCCUUAAGUCACAAUUUCAGGGGGGUAUUGUUCAUCUCAGAGAAUUAAAUAAGAACCCCCAAAAUCUAGUCUUAACACCUUCUCUACAUUUUUAUUUUUUGCCUCCAGGGUUAUCGCUGGGGCUCAGUGCCUGUACUACGAAUCUACUGCUCCUGGAGGCCAUUUUUCCCCAUUUGUUUUUGUUGCCCUUGUUGUUGUUAUACAGGACAGAGAGAAAUCGAGACAGGAGGGGAAGACAGAGAGAGGGAGAGACAGGUAAACACCUAUAGACCUGCUUCACCACUUGUGAAGCAACUCCCCUGCAGCUGGGGAGUCAGGGGCUUGAACCAGGAUCCUUAUACUGGUUGAUGUGCUUCGCACACCAUGCGCUUAACCUGCUGCACUACAGCCCAAGCCCCUCUUCUCUAGAUUUUUUAAACAUUUAUUUAUUUAUUUAUUUAUUUAUUUUGCCUCCAGGGUUGUUGCUGGGGCUCGGUGUCUGCACCAUGAAUCCACUGCUCCUAGAGGCCAUUUUUUCCCCUUUUGUAAACCUUUGUAUUUAUUAUUAAUUUAUUUACCUAGUAUUGGAUAGAGACAGAAAUUGAAAAGAGGGGGAGCUAAGGAGAGAGAAAUGCCUGCAGCACUGCUUCACUGCUCAUGAAGCUUUCCCCUUGCAGGUGGGGCCUGGGGAUUGAACCUAGGUCUUUGUGCAUUGUAACAUGUGUGUUCAACCAGGUGUGCCACCACCCAUCCCCUCCUGUUCCACAUUUUAUAAAAGACAAUCUUCAAGGCCCACAGAGGCUGAAGUCUUGUCCAGAGUCACACAGCCUAGCCCCUGGCAGAGGGAUACCUGGAAUGCAGAGAUCCUGAAGUCCUGUUAGUGGCUAUUUUUUCCCACUUCAACAAGUGUCACUGGAUUUUUCCUACUUCACCUGCUAUAAAGAUCUAAAAAACCUUGAGCUAGGCUAGACCACAGUGAUGACUCUGCAAGUGAGUCCUUGAGUGUUCUUAAGGGGCUGCUGGAGCACAGCAGGGCUCAGGGACUUGCUGAAGGGCGUGCUGUGCAAAGCCUCACCCAGAGCCCAGUUUGGGCAACAUGGUCUUGGGUCUGCUGGACUGUACCUUGCUCAUUUUUCCUCUUGGAUGUUUGCAGAAAGGACCAGAUGCUGACCUUAAGUUAAUAUGACUAGACGAACCUUAAAAACUGCACAAACAACAAUUUUGCUUCUCAGUGAUUUUUCCCCCCUAAAUAUUUGCUUAAUUUAUUUACAGUGGGGGAGUGGUGGCACACCCAGCUAAGCACAUGUACUGCCAUGUACAGGGACCCAGGUUUAAACCCCAGCUCCCCACCUACAGGGGGAACGCUUCACAGUCAGUGAAGCAGAUCUGCAGGUAUCUCUCUUUGUCUCUUCCUCUCUUAUCUCCCCAUCCUCUCUCAAUUUCUCUCUGUCCUGUCAAAUAAAAACACAAAAGGGGGCCAGGGAAUGGCCACUGGGAGCAGUGGAUUCAUCAUGCUGGUGCUGAACCCUAGUGAUAACCCUAGAGGCAAUUAGAGAGAGAGAGAGAGAGAGGAAGCCCAGAGCAUCACUCUGACGUGUGAUACUGGGGACAGAACUCCGGACCUCACACUUAUAAAUCAAGCAUUUUAGCCACUGUAUCACCUCCCAGGCUGUCUUUUCAGUAGCUAUCAAUGGUAAGAUGUGACAGUUUCACUGUCAUUUGUAAGUGACCAGCCCCUGGUAGCUGGGCUGUUUCUUAGGAUUUCUUAUUCUUGUCCUUGAGCUGAGCAUGUGAUUCCAGAUGCCCUGAUGAGGUGGAAUAUUGGAGACCUUCAGACUGACAUGUUGCGAAUUAUUUAGCAUUGACACGCAGGGUGAUUUUUCUCUUGGAGGAAAAUGACAUUCUUCUUUAUAUCCAAAGAGGGUUUCUUAGGCCUUUUUUUUCUAUGUGAUUUUCUACACUUGUUUCUCGGAAUUCCACUGACUGAGGUGUAGACAGCAUGGUCUUGCCAUUCUAGGUUCAGCAUUUUGGCCCUGUGUGUCAGUAAUUGUGGCCACUGUCCAUGGGUCAGGGUAAGACAUGACAUUGUGUCCCAUGUGAUUCCCUAGACCACCAUUUGCACAGGGUGUGUCCUUGCUCCUGGGAACUUCUGUCUGUGAAGCAGUAGGUCAGGUGUUGGCCCCAUAGGGCCUCCAAGUAGAGGCAAGCCUGGGGCUUGACAGAGUAGACUUUCUCUGUUGAGGUGUCUGUCUAGAACCCAAGAGGAACAGAGGCCUUGACCAAACCAACUCCUUGAGUUCAAAUCCCUACCGCAAAUUCUACAUGUGUUCCGUACAGGGUUUUGUGCCUGCUGUGAGGACAAACAUGAGCUUAGAACAUUGUCAGGUGCAUGGGAAACGCUGAGGACUUCUGGCCAUUUCCAUGUAUUAUCUUCUAAUCCUAGGAGGCCAGGGCUGAUGUCAUCUCCGUUUUAAAGAUGUGGAAGUCAAGGCACAGAGAGCUUAAGCACAGAGCUAAUACAUGAAGAAUCCAUAUUUAAGUGGUCUGCCCCACAGCCUGAGUUCUGACCCACCUUCUGUCCUACUUCUUAGGGUGACGAGGGUUAGACAGAUGAGAGACCAAUCCCAUGAUUGGUGAUGCUAUGUGUAUGGGGGUGGGGGUAUUUCUGGAUGGGAGCCCUAUGGUGCCUGUCACAUGAUUGGAAGGGGCUAAGAUUGGUGGAAGGAAACCUUAGUAGGGGCUCAAGUUAAGGAA
Long non-coding RNA from Erinaceus europaeus (western European hedgehog), 3567 nucleotides. RefSeq lists it as uncharacterized. NCBI's taxonomy places the organism in Eukaryota, Metazoa, Chordata, Mammalia, Eulipotyphla, Erinaceidae. The transcript is spliced from 2 exons. The record is from RefSeq and is a predicted model, not a curated record.